RNAcentral lists this ribosomal RNA (301 nucleotides) under uncultured bacterium. Its description in RNAcentral is "partial 16S ribosomal RNA". It matches the Rfam family "Bacterial small subunit ribosomal RNA", at positions 509 to 809 of the family's 1533-position model. The record is from RNAcentral.
CAGCCGCCGCGGGAAUACGGAGGGAGCUAGCGUUGUUCGGAAUUACUGGGCGUAAAGCGCGCGUAGGCGGUUACUCAAGUCAGAGGUGAAAGCCCGGGGCUCAACCCCGGAACUGCCUUUGAAACUAGGUGACUAGAAUCUUGGAGAGGUCAGUGGAAUUCCGAGUGUAGAGGUGAAAUUCGUAGAUAUUCGGAAGAACACCAGUGGCGAAGGCGGCUCACUGGACGACUGUUGACGCUGAGGUGCGAAAGCGUGGGGAGCAAACAGGAUUAGAUACCCCUGUAGUCCCUGUCUCUUAUAU